GGUUUUCGAGUGAUGGGGUCUCUCAUUCGUGAAUGUGUUGGGUUUCAGCAAUUUCCAGUGGCUACCCAGGAAAAGCUGAUUGAAUAUUUCGGUGUUUUUUUGGUAAACAAAGGCAUGUUGUUCCUAUUUCUUUGGUGCUUAAGUCGGUUUCUCGGAUUCUCCGUUGUGAUUAGGAGAUAAUGGGUUUUUGUAAUUGCAGAAUAUGAACUCAAUGGCAGUUGUUGUUCUGGGUGAAGGCGGUGUCGGAACAUCACCCACUCUCUUAUCGGCGGACAAGUCGUCCGUGUCAGUCCUUUCCAGGUUUCUUGUGAACAGAACCAUAGAUGUCUUGCUCUAUGUUGAUCGUUUGGAUGUGUAAAGAGUCCAUGAGCUAGAUAAGCAAGUUGUUAAAGCAAUCACCCAAACCUUUGAAAAUGUUAUAUAGUGCAAAACCUUGCUUGUUCUGACUGCUCAAUUUUUCCCUCCGGAUGAACUUUCCUACGAAAAUUUUUCCACCAAGAGAUCAGAAUAUCAGAUUCUCACCUCAAAACUAUCUGUGCUGGUUCGAAGAUGUGAAAACAAGAAUUUGAGGAAUCUGGCAAUCACGGCAGUCUAUGUAGAGAACAUUUGAAGAUUCAGCAAGAACUAUAAGGAUGAAAAGCUUUGGGUUUUAAAAGUUACCUACCUACUCUUUUGUCUUAGGCUCCUUCCGAAUGGUGAAGUGUGGAUCCCGAACUUGGUUAAUCAAUAACUGAUUAGCAACAAACCAGAGGGAAGCAAUUCAUGUAAACAAGAAGAUGGUAGAUGGAUCUUACUCUGAUGAUUAAGGAAAGAAACUCAUCCUUCUUAUCAUCGACGCUCAGGUAAGAAAGAAACACAGUUUGAUUUACUGUGGCCAGACAGUAAAUAAUCAUCUUAGGUUAUUUCCUUGAUUAUGCAAGCAAACUUUUUCUCUGAUUUGAUUGCAUAUCUAACAAGAAAGAACUUGGAACAAUUUGAUUUUGGUGACGAAUCUGAUUUUGCUCAAUAUACUUUGUUGUUGCUUGAGUAGUUUUGAAGACCUAUACGUCAUGAUAUUGUAGUUUUGCUAUAUUUGGCUUCAAAAUUUUACGGAGGAUUACUACUCAAUAGCUAUAUGAGGAUCAUAACGUUUAAGUUCCUGAUUCUCCCGAGGAGAGAAUUUGCUUCAUUAAGAAAAGAUGGAUUCACAUGCAUAUCUACUCAGUAAAGUGGGUCAGAUGAUGAGGUUACAUUCACCAAUGCAUCUUGAAAUAGUCUGUUUUGGUGACAUUAUUUUCCUAUUGAGGAGUUGUACUUAUGUUUUUUAUAAUUUGUCCUAACUCCUAACUAACUAAUUGAUCGUUAUGAACAUUAUGGUGCUCUAUUUAGAAGAAGAAAUUUUAUUACCAAUGGGUCGGUAACUUGAUUGGUGAGCAUAAUAAAAAAUGAAGUAAAAAGAUGAUUUUUAUGCAAAAGAAAUAAAUGAAUAUGCAGAUUAAUUAAGUAUAUCUAAGCUAAGAAAACAAGUAAUUUGAAAAAUGUUUCGGGCGCUAUCUUUAUUACUAAUAUUAACUUGUGACAGUAACUUAACUAAACUAUCCAAGAACAUUAAGUUGAAUAUGCUUAGAUUGAACAUGCAAGAUAUUUUUAAUAACGACGGUGUGAGAUAAUAUAUUUUGUGUAAAAAAAAAUCGAAACUUUCAUCGUCUCACAAUCUAAGCAUAUGACAAAAACAAAACAAAAAAAAUAAAAUAAGAAUUGAAUCAAAGAGCUCAGACUCUUGAACAACAACAAAAAAGAACUCAAGGUCAUUGGUUUUUCAUAUGCACUAAUAUAGCUGGACUUUUUAAAGACAGUUACAAGUUAUAUUUACAUUCA
This is a long non-coding RNA of Arabidopsis lyrata subsp. lyrata, 1857 nucleotides long. RefSeq lists it as uncharacterized. Lineage: Eukaryota; Viridiplantae; Streptophyta; Magnoliopsida; Brassicales; Brassicaceae. The transcript has 3 exons. The record is from RefSeq and is a predicted model, not a curated record.